RNAcentral lists this transfer RNA (74 nucleotides) under Aptenodytes forsteri (emperor penguin). It matches the Rfam family "tRNA". Rfam says of the family: Transfer RNA (tRNA) molecules are approximately 80 nucleotides in length. Lineage: Eukaryota; Metazoa; Chordata; Aves; Sphenisciformes; Spheniscidae. The record is from Rfam by way of RNAcentral.
GUUUCUGUAGUGUAGUGGUUAUCACGUUCGCCUCACACGCGAAAGGUCCCCGGUUCGAAACCGGGGCAGAAACG